Schistosoma mansoni is the source of this 82-nucleotide non-coding RNA. Lineage: Eukaryota; Metazoa; Platyhelminthes; Trematoda; Strigeidida; Schistosomatidae. The record is from Rfam.
GUCAGGAUGGCCGAGUGGUUAAGGCGUUGGACUUGAAAUCCAAUGGGGUUUCCCCGCGCAGGUUCGAACCCUGCUCCUGACG